UCCACUAGAGGCCAUAUUGGGAUGGGACAAUGGAUGCAAAAAAGAAAUAAGUAAAUGAACAAGAGAAAAUCACUUGAAUCACUCGCAUUUUAGAGACCUUGACAUCUAUAUAUGUACAGGUUGUAGGUUGGGCAUUAGAUGGGAGCUUUCGAUUCAUUGAAGGCAGGUUCAACUGCCACUGUUUUUGUCAUCAAGAAUUCUGCGGCUGUAUCACUGCCCGGUGCUAGAAAUGGGCCCAAUCACAUAAAUUCUUUGAAGUGGUCAGAAUCUUGUACAUGGAUCACUGUAAUGUAGAGCAUAUUUUUACCAAAAUAGUUACCAUUUUUACUAGUGCCGUUUCCAGGUCUUGAAUGUGGGCCUCUUUGUUGGUGUUAAGGUUUUCUUGGCUCAUCGGAGGAAACCUCAUUUUUG
RNAcentral lists this unclassified non-coding RNA (411 nucleotides) under Hevea brasiliensis (rubber tree). Lineage: Eukaryota; Viridiplantae; Streptophyta; Magnoliopsida; Malpighiales; Euphorbiaceae. The record is from RNAcentral.